This 1063-nucleotide long non-coding RNA is filed under the name Nicotiana benthamiana. RNAcentral describes it as "long non-coding RNA (NBEN_LNC015323)". Lineage: Eukaryota; Viridiplantae; Streptophyta; Magnoliopsida; Solanales; Solanaceae. The record is from RNAcentral.
AAUCUGCUCUAUAGUUAUCUAAUCUCUUUCUUUUUCCUACCUCCCCUACGAAGGGAAGUACAAAGGAAGCUGCUUCGAAGUUGAAGGGGCUCGUCCAUUCACUAUAUGUCUGUAAUCUCAUACAUAAAGAGGAAGAUUAAAAACUCAUCGAUCUCCUUACCGCUCCGUGGGGGUCUUCAUUCACUCUUCUCUUACUUUCCCUACUUCUAGAAAAAAAAAAGAAAUGUUGAACAAAAACGAUCUUUCUAAAGUUAAGGCAGCAGAUCGGUCGGCUGCGGGACGGGGCCGGGAGCAGCAGUAGGAAGAAGGACGCGAGUUCCUUCAGGGCAAAGGGCAUACCUGAAAUUUAGGUCAUGCAGGAACGCAGAAACGGAACAAAGAAAAGCUUGACGCUAAUCCACUAAAGACUGAACCCAUCAAGCGAACAAGUCGCUAAGGCUUCCACAGACCGAGGCUUAUAGCAAAAGGAAAGACGAUUCUAUCCAAUCACAACCUCGCCAAGUCUCUAAUCAGGGGCUCCAUCAUGUUAGCCAAUACGAAGAGUGGCUGUUCUGUUAAUAGAGUAUAUCACAGCUAAUGCACUCCACGAUUCCGAAUACACCUAUAAGCUCGCCUCAAUCUUAGAUUUUUCCUUUAUAUGCUUUAGUAGAUAGAAAGACUCUUUGACGGGCUACUCCCCAAGCAGAACAACCUCACUGUCUCCCGAAGCAGCCUAGUCACACAAUGCAGUUGGAGCUAGAGACGAGGAUGGCACCGUGAAUGCUUAGCCAGAAUAGACCAAGCUAAGCAAAGAGGAACCUAUCCCAAGCGUAGCAUCAACUAUUAUAUCUUCCCUACUGCUAUAAAGGAAUAAGGAGAGAGACAAUGCAGAGAAGCACUUUUCGAAGAGAGAGAAAGAAACCUCCCUAACUCAGAAAGGCCCAGACUGCGCUGAGGAAAGAAUGGCACUUUACAAAUAAGAAGAGGGGCAAUGAGAGCAGAGAAAGAAAGCUAACCUAAAGGUAAUUAUUUCUCUAAAGGGCGACGGGACCACCCUCUAAGCCUAAGUAUUCCUCAAUGACCG